RNAcentral lists this ribosomal RNA (305 nucleotides) under uncultured bacterium. RNAcentral describes it as "bacterial SSU rRNA". It matches the Rfam family "Bacterial small subunit ribosomal RNA", at positions 333 to 636 of the family's 1533-position model. The record is from RNAcentral.
GUGUACCUACGGGAGGCAGCAGUGAGGAAUAUUGGUCAAUGGUCGGGAGACUGAACCAGCCAAGCCGCAUGAGGGAUGAAGGUACAGAGUAUCGUAAACCUCUUUUGUCAGGGAACAAAGGCGGGGACGCGUCCCCGGAUGAGUGUACCUGAAGAAAAAGCAUCGGCUAACUCCGUGCCAGCAGCCGCGGUAAUACGGAGGAUGUGAGCGUUAUCCGGAUUUAUUGGGUUUAAAGGGUGCGCAGGCGGUCUGUUAAGUCAGCGGUCAAAGCCCGGGGCUCAACCCCGGCCCGCCGUUGAAAAUGG